UUGGCAUUUAAGUAAAAGUGGUGGAUGAAAAGGAUUCUUCAGAGAAAUACAAUCUGUGUUUCAACUUCUACAUCUUUGAGCUGCCUGGCUUUACAUGUGCUAUCAAUUGUCUUAAAACCAGUGUAUAACGAGGUGACAAUUAUGAAAUUGUGUCAGCAGUGGAGUUUUCUUCAGCAAAUACAAUUCAAAAUGCCACAGAAGCUGCAUCAAUGAAUCAUCUAGUGCCCAUCAAGCUUGAA
Protopterus annectens (West African lungfish) is the source of this 239-nucleotide long non-coding RNA. RefSeq lists it as uncharacterized. The record is from RefSeq and is a predicted model, not a curated record. The transcript has 2 exons. Lineage: Eukaryota; Metazoa; Chordata; Ceratodontiformes; Protopteridae.